UACGUAGGGCGCAAGCGUUGUCCGGAAUUAUUGGGCGUAAAGAGCUCGUAGGCGGCUUUGUCACGUCGGAUGUGAAAGCCCGGGGCUUAACCCCGGGUCUGCAUUCGAUACGGGCUAGCUAGAGUGUGGUAGGGGAGAUCGGAAUUCCUGGUGUAGCGGUGAAAUGCGCAGAUAUCAGGAGGAACACCGGUGGCGAAGGCGGAUCUCUGGGCCAUUUACUGACGCUGAGGAGCGAAAAGCGUGGGGAGCGAACAGG
Molecule: ribosomal RNA, 256 nt
Filed under: uncultured bacterium
Lineage: Bacteria
Description: partial 16S ribosomal RNA
Rfam family: Bacterial small subunit ribosomal RNA
Source: RNAcentral